Molecule: long non-coding RNA, 827 nt
Filed under: Vombatus ursinus (common wombat)
Lineage: Eukaryota; Metazoa; Chordata; Mammalia; Diprotodontia; Vombatidae
Description: lncRNA (ENSVURG00010007760.1)
Source: RNAcentral
GACACGGCUUGGGCUGCACCAUGGCCUCCACUCUCUCCUCCUUACUCUGUCUUGGUGAACUGGAUAUACCUCUCAGAAUAGUAUCAAAAACCACUCUCAUCAUCCUUGGCUGUAUCAUCAUUCUCUUCUUCCUCUUUUUAUUGGCCUUCUUCUGUCAUCAACACCCCUGUACUGCAUCCCCGACUGAUGACAUCUUCCUUAAUGUGUCUGGCUCCCCUCAAACAUGUAUUACUGGAAGGGGAGACCAUGAGUACAGACAUGGCCAAAAAGAGACUGACCCAUCAAAUUCAGGGGCUGAAGACCAAGAAGGAGUGAUCUACAGCCAAUUGAACAUUGAGACCCAGGGUAAGGUGAAGACAACCCCCUAUGAUACACGCAAAGAGACUAUAUAUAGCACUCUAGCUUGGCACUGAGGGCAAGAAGAGACACAUGGGUCAUUUGGAAAAGUGCAAAGCGUGAACCUCAAACAGAAGGCUGGGGAUCCAAUGUGCAAGAAGGAAAAAUGGUUCCGGGGGAAUGGCUACACAAAUUUGCCUUGUGUGGAGCACCUGGUGGAGAGGGCACAGCUGUCUAACAACUUUCUUUCAUCGGGCCUAUGGUAUACCAUCUACAAAUACAUAACUGUCAAUAACUCUUAUCCCUGAUUUAGCAACAAUAACAACCACAAAAACAUUUAAAAAAAGCAUUUAGUCUUAGAAUUACAAAAUUGCAACCGACUUUUAUCAUGUAGUGUCAAAUUGCGAUGGACCCAUAAACUAGGAUAUCACUUUGUGCAAUAGCAUCUUUUCUGUUCUCUUUCUAUGGACAAAGUAAAUUAUGGAAUUGUU